UACGUAGGGUGCAGGCGUUAAUCGGAAUUACUGGGCGUAAAGCGUGCGCAGGCGGUUUUCUAAGUCAGAUGUGAAAUCCCCGGGCUUAACCUGGGAACUGCGUUUGAAACUGGGAGGCUAGAGUGCGGCAGAGGGGGGUGGAAUUCCACGUGUAGCAGUGAAAUGCGUAGAUAUGUGGAGGAACACCGAUGGCGAAGGCAGCCCCCUGGGCCUGCACUGACGCUCAUGCACGAAAGCGUGGGGAGCAAACAGG
RNAcentral lists this ribosomal RNA (253 nucleotides) under uncultured bacterium. RNAcentral describes it as "partial 16S ribosomal RNA". It matches the Rfam family "Bacterial small subunit ribosomal RNA", at positions 524 to 776 of the family's 1533-position model. The record is from RNAcentral.